Molecule: ribosomal RNA, 384 nt
Filed under: uncultured Exobasidiomycetes
Lineage: Eukaryota; Fungi; Basidiomycota; Exobasidiomycetes
Description: partial small subunit ribosomal RNA
Rfam family: Eukaryotic small subunit ribosomal RNA
Source: RNAcentral
GCUUGUCUCAAAGAUUAAGCCAUGCAUGUCUUAGUGUAAAUAACUCUUAUGAAACUGCGAAUGGCUCAUUAAAUCAGUUAUCGUUUAUUUGAUGGUCCCUUACUACAUGGAUAACCGUAGUAAUUCUAGAGCUAAUACAUGCACAAAGGCCCGACUCACGAAGGGCUGUAUUUAUUAGAUAAAAAUCAACUUUGUUGGUGAAUCAUAAUAACUUCUCGGACCGCAUGGCCUCGUGCUGGCGGUGCUUCAUUCAAAUAUCUGCCCUAUCAACUGUCGAUGGUAGGAUAGAGGCCUACCAUGGUUGCAACGGGUAACGGGGAAUAAGGGUUCGAUUCCGGAGAGGGAGCCUGAGAAACGGCUACCACAUCCAAGGAAGGCAGCAGG